RNAcentral lists this ribosomal RNA (400 nucleotides) under uncultured bacterium. RNAcentral's name for it is "bacterial SSU rRNA". It matches the Rfam family "Bacterial small subunit ribosomal RNA", at positions 355 to 772 of the family's 1533-position model. The record is from RNAcentral.
UGGGGAAUUUUGCACAAUGGGCGAAAGCCUGAUGCAGCGACGCCGCGUGGAGGAUGAAGGCCUUCGGGUUGUAAACUCCUUUUGUAGGGAACGAUAAUGACGGUACCCUAUGAAUAAGCCACGGCUAACUCUGUGCCAGCAGCCGCGGUAAGACAGAGGUGGCAAGCGUUGUUCGGAAUUACUGGGCUUAAAGGGCGCGUAGGCGGCGAUAUAAGUCCGGGGUGGAAGGCUGAGGCUUAACCUCAGGAUUGCCCUGGAAACUGUAUUGCUUGAGUCAGCGAGGGGAUGGCGGAAUUCCUGGUGUAGCGGUGAAAUGCGUAGAUAUCAGGAGGAAGGCCGGUGGCGAAGGCGGCCAUCUGGCGCUGAACUGACGCUGAGGCGCGAAAGCGUGGGGAGCAAA